AUGGAGAAUGGCUACCACCGACACCCUACAAGAAGGAAUGGUGGCACCCGCCGGUGUCACCGCAUCGGAGCCGGACGAGCCGGCAAGGAUUUCUCCCGCACGCCAAACACCACCGCCCAUCCGGAGCCUACCAACCAAACCACCGCCCAGUGCGCCAUCGAGGUUGCGCCGCCAUCCACGCCGUCUCGCUACGAGCACCAACACGAGGCCGAGAAGACCGGAGAGAAGCGCCACACGCCGAGAGCAGCAGCACCAAGGUCGAGCGGGAGGGAACCACCUCCACCGCCGUCGUGCGAGAAGCCCACGCCUCCGGCACCGUCGCGGUAG
Molecule: ribosomal RNA, 327 nt
Filed under: Triticum aestivum (bread wheat)
Lineage: Eukaryota; Viridiplantae; Streptophyta; Magnoliopsida; Poales; Poaceae
Description: partial small subunit ribosomal RNA
Source: RNAcentral